This 328-nucleotide long non-coding RNA is filed under the name Aquilegia coerulea. RNAcentral describes it as "long non-coding RNA (ACOE_LNC001301)". The record is from RNAcentral. Lineage: Eukaryota; Viridiplantae; Streptophyta; Magnoliopsida; Ranunculales; Ranunculaceae.
GUUUCCACAAAUCCAGGCACAGUUUGAGUGUUUUUGUUGUCUUCCACCUCAACAAACAAAUGGGGUAACAACAAUUAGAAAUCCUUAGUCCAAGAGAGUGAGAAAUCAAAACCCUAAACUAUAUGCCCUUUUGGGUCUGAGAGAGAGAGGUGAGAGAGAGAGAGAGAGUACCUUCUUCAAUGUUUUUGAGCAGAUAGAAUCCUGGAAUAGAAAUUUUGUUAAGGUAGUAAGAGAAAAUAAAAUUUUGGGCGGUAAUGAGAUGAAAUAUUGGGGGGGAAAUUGGUUUGGCGCUUAAAUGAACACAAAGGACAAUAAUGGUGUAUCUAAA